Molecule: ribosomal RNA, 625 nt
Filed under: Exiguobacterium sp. AIMSTPE12-X
Lineage: Bacteria; Bacillati; Bacillota; Bacilli; Caryophanales
Description: bacterial SSU rRNA
Rfam family: Bacterial small subunit ribosomal RNA
Source: RNAcentral
GGCGUGCCUAAUACAUGCAAGUCGAGCGCAGGAAAUCAUCCGAACCCUUCGGGGGGACGUUGAUGGAAUGAGCGGCGGACGGGUGAGUAACACGUAAAGAACCUGCCCUCAGGUCUGGGAUAACCACGAGAAAUCGGGGCUAAUACCGGAUGGGUCAUCGGACCGCAUGGUCCGAGGAUGAAAGGCGCUUCGGCGUCGCCUGGGGAUGGCUUUGCGGUGCAUUAGCUAGUUGGUGGGGUAAUGGCCCACCAAGGCGACGAUGCAUAGCCGACCUGAGAGGGUGAUCGGCCACACUGGGACUGAGACACGGCCCAGACUCCUACGGGAGGCAGCAGUAGGGAAUCUUCCACAAUGGACGAAAGUCUGAUGGAGCAACGCCGCGUGAACGAUGAAGGCCUUCGGGUCGUAAAGUUCUGUUGUAAGGGAAGAACAAGUGCCGCAGGCAAUGGCGGCACCUUGACGGUACCUUGCGAGAAAGCCACGGCUAACUACGUGCCAGCAGCCGCGGUAAUACGUAGGUGGCAAGCGUUGUCCGGAAUUAUUGGGCGUAAAGCGCGCGCAGGCGGCCUCUUAAGUCUGAUGUGAAAGCCCCCGGCUCAACCGGGGAGGGCCAUUGGAAACUGGG